RNAcentral lists this ribosomal RNA (497 nucleotides) under uncultured bacterium. RNAcentral describes it as "partial 16S ribosomal RNA". It matches the Rfam family "Bacterial small subunit ribosomal RNA", at positions 28 to 507 of the family's 1533-position model. The record is from RNAcentral.
GACGAACGCUGGCGGCGUGCCUAAUACAUGCAAGUCGAACGCUGAAGAGAGGAGCUUACUCUUCUUGGAUGAGUUGCGAACGGGUGAGUAACGCGUAGGUAACCUGCCUUGUAGCGGGGGAUAACUAUUGGAAACGAUAGCUAAUACCGCAUAACACUGGCUGACACAUGUCUUUUAUUUGAAAGGGGCAAUUGCUCCACUACAAGAUGGACCCGCGUUGUAUUAGCUAGUAGGUGAGGUAAUGGCUCACCUAGGCGACGAUACAUAGCCGACCUGAGAGGGUGAUCGGCCACACUGGGACUGGGACACGGCCCAGACUCCUACGGGAGGCAGCAGUAGGGGAUCUUCGGCAAUGGGGGCAACCCUGAACGAGCAACGCCGCGUGAGUGAAGAAGGUUUUCGGAUCGUAAAGCUCUGUUGUAAGUCAAGAACGGGUGUGAGAGUGGAAAGUUCACACUGUGACGGUAGCUUACCAGAAAGGGACGGCUAACUACGUG